Paramormyrops kingsleyae is the source of this 431-nucleotide long non-coding RNA. RefSeq lists it as uncharacterized. NCBI's taxonomy places the organism in Eukaryota, Metazoa, Chordata, Actinopteri, Osteoglossiformes, Mormyridae. The record is from RefSeq and is a predicted model, not a curated record.
UCCUGGAGCCCAUCCCAGGAAGCCCAGGGAAUGAGAUGGAGAAUGCUCCGGAUGCCAGGCCGCACACUCACGUCUACAACCUCACACUAGAGGCUACUCAGAGUCAGCUCUGCCUUUGGACUGUGGGAGGAACCUACAAUGCUGGAUCAGUGAGGCCUCAUUCCGCACCAUGCAGGGCGCCCUGCCCCAACACGUCCUGUGAGGAAGGUUAACAGGACACAGCUGGUGGCUAAUAGCUCCAGCCAGGGACCAGGAUGGCCUUCUCUAGUGGAACGUAAAACCUUAAAGGUUGGGGAGAGAGUAAAAGGUACCUAGGCUGGCUGAAGGAGUUCCAUCCUACCUCUCCUUACAAAGCUGCACGUGGCCCCAGCGAAUCAGGAGAGGCAGGGAGCGUGUCCAUGGGAACCGUCUUGGAAGGAAACCACCCCUAU